UACGUAGGGGGCAAGCGUUGUCCGGAAUCAUUGGGCGUAAAGAGCGCGUAGGCGGCCUGGUGCGUCCGCUGUGAAAUCCCAGGGCUCAACCCUGGGCGUGCAGUGGAUACGGGCAGGCUGGAGGCAGGCAGGGGAGAACGGAAUUCCCGGUGUAGCGGUGAAAUGCGCAGAUAUCGGGAGGAACACCGGUGGCGAAGGCGGUUCUCUGGGCCUGUACUGACGCUGAGGAGCGAAAGCGUGGGGAGCGAACAGG
RNAcentral lists this ribosomal RNA (253 nucleotides) under uncultured bacterium. RNAcentral's name for it is "partial 16S ribosomal RNA". It matches the Rfam family "Bacterial small subunit ribosomal RNA", at positions 524 to 776 of the family's 1533-position model. The record is from RNAcentral.